Long non-coding RNA from Meriones unguiculatus (Mongolian gerbil), 332 nucleotides. RefSeq lists it as uncharacterized. Lineage: Eukaryota; Metazoa; Chordata; Mammalia; Rodentia; Muridae. The transcript has 3 exons. The record is from RefSeq and is a predicted model, not a curated record.
AACUCAGAAGCAGCCCCCAGGCUCUGGCAGCUGUUGCUUUCCCACCUUCCUGGUGGUCCUGGCCCUCAAACAGUCUCUUCUUGCUUUUCAGGGAGAUGCCAUACUUUUGCUGGGUAAUGCCUCGCCAUGCCUCCCCAGUCUGCGUUACCCCGGGCUGCUCUGCCAGCCCGUGUGACCGGCUCUACCGAGUCUCUGUAUGCUGAUGUGCCGGCACGUGCAUUUGUAAAGUCUGUUUUGGAAUUCUUCUCCCCGCAACCCACCCAGGGCCCUCCAAAUGUUCCCUGCCCUGCUUAAUAGUGGCAGAGGGCUGGGAUGGGAUGGGCACUCUCCCU